AUUGAACGCUGGCGGCAUGCCUUACACAUGCAAGUCGAACGGCAGCAUGGAGAGCUUGCUCUCUGAUGGCGAGUGGCGAACGGGUGAGUAAUGCAUCGGAACGUACCGUGUAAUGGGGGAUAACGUAGCGAAAGUUACGCUAAUACCGCAUACGACCUGAGGGUGAAAGCAGGGGAUCGCAAGACCUUGCGUUAUACGAGCGGCCGAUGUCAGAUUAGCUAGUUGGGAAGGUAAAGGCUCACCAAGGCGACGAUCUGUAGCGGGUCUGAGAGGAUGAUCCGCCACACUGGGACUGAGACACGGCCCAGACUCCUACGGGAGGCAGCAGUGGGGAAUUUUGGACAAUGGGGGCAACCCUGAUCCAGCCAUGCCGCGUGAGUGAAGAAGGCCUUCGGGUUGUAAAGCUCUUUCGGCCGGGAAGAAAUCGCACAGGCUAAUACUCUGUGUGGAUGACGGUACCGGCAUAAGAAGCACCGGCUAACUACAUGCCAGCCGCCGCGGUAA
This 504-nucleotide ribosomal RNA is filed under the name uncultured bacterium. RNAcentral describes it as "partial 16S ribosomal RNA". It matches the Rfam family "Bacterial small subunit ribosomal RNA", at positions 30 to 523 of the family's 1533-position model. The record is from RNAcentral.